CUGUUAGUCAUUUUGGAAUGAUUCCAUGAGAAAAAUGUUUCAGGAUUUCCCGAGCUCAACACGAAGGCGAUUUGAGGCUGAUAGUUGUUCGUUGUGCUGUCUUGUGCACAGGUGACCGGUCAGCAGCAUCUCUGGUCUCUACCCGCUAGGUGCUAAUAGCGCCCCCUAUCCCAGUGGCGCCAACCAGAGUGUCUGCAGACAUUGCCCACUGUCUUCUGGGGGCGCCAUAUUGUCCCUGAGAGCCAUUUCUCUAGUUUGAGUUUUCUUGAAACAUUAUGAAAGCACUCAAACACUGAAAACAAUAUCAGUAUAUUUCCAUAUUCACUCCUUUGAUUUCGGAACAGAAGGAAUAGAGAAUUCAGACAUGUGAAUUCAACUUCUACAGUUUAUUGGCAAAACAUUGAACUGACUUCUUUUCGUUCAUUGAAGUAUCUUUUGAUGGCUGGAUCUCCCUUUACGAAGGAAGUUGUGCUGCUCUCCAUAGAAAUAUCAAGAACAUACGGACCCUUCUCUUGAAUUGCCAAAAUUGUCUUACAUGCUCAUCUGCCUCAGCUUAUUCUCUGGUUUGUUGUUUCAGGGCUCAGUGAUGUUUAGGGAUGUGGUAGUAGUCUUCUCAGGACGAGUGGGGCCAGCCAGAUCCUGCUAAGAAGGAUUUGUACAGGGACGUGACACUGGAGAACUUCAGCAACUUCAUCUCUAGGUUCUUCUAUUUCCAGGCCAGAUGUGAUCUCCUUAUCGGCACAAGGGAAAGAACCCUUGGGGGCACAAAGAGAUGUGACAGGAAGCCUGUGCCCAGCUGAGUGAAGGAUCAUUAAGAAGGGCAGUGGCACUGUAGAUCAUGUAUCCUCAUGGGAGAAAAUGGAAAAAUUUAUAAACAAAGAUCCUGAGGACCCCAUGUUCUAGGAUGACUGGGAAUAUAAAGGCAUAUUUGAGAGACAUCAAAGAAAUGAGGAAGGAAAUUCCAGUCAAGUGAUAAUCACCCAGGAAGAGUAUCUACUGUGAGACAGCAAACUUCCCAUAACCUGCAUCAGAAAGUUCCACCUGGAAGUAGGCCCUAUGCGUAACGAAUGUAGAGAAGGGUUUCGGCAGAAGACAUCCCUUCUAAGUCACCAGAAAAUGCAUACUGCUGACCGAUCUGAGGAAUGCAAGCAACAUGGGAAGGCUUUCUUCAUCACCGUUCUGAUCCCCCUCAACAUCAUAGAACUCACACUGGGAAAGACCCCGUGAAUGUAAAGAAUGUGGAAGGGCCUUUAGUCCUGUUUCCCUCUUUACCCAACACCAGAGAAUUCCUACUGGUGAGAAAACCUAUGAAUGUAAGGAAUAUCAAAAAAGCUAUAUUCAGCUCUCAAAACUUAAUGUACAUCAUAGAAUUCAUACUAGGGAAAAAUUCUAUCAAUAUACUGAAUGUGCAAAAACUUGUCACUAAUUAUUCAACAUCAGAGAAUUCAUACUGGAGAAAACCCUAUGACUGUAAGGAAUGUGGAAGACCUUUAGAGGUAUCACACAACUUCAUGAACAUCAAAGAAUAUAUACCAGGGAGAAGCCAUAAAAAUGUAAUGAAUGUGGAAAGGCCUUCGGUCAUCAGUCAUAUCUUUCUCAAUAUCAGAGGAUCCAUACUGGUGAGGCACCUUAUAAACGUAAGGUUUGUGGGAAGGCUUUUAGGCAGGGCUCAAAGCUUUAUCAUCACCACAAAAUUUAUACUAAGUGAGAAAUCAAAUAAAUGUAAUGGAAGCUUUU
Long non-coding RNA from Neofelis nebulosa (Clouded leopard), 1737 nucleotides. RefSeq lists it as uncharacterized. The record is from RefSeq and is a predicted model, not a curated record. NCBI's taxonomy places the organism in Eukaryota, Metazoa, Chordata, Mammalia, Carnivora, Felidae. The transcript has 4 exons.